RNAcentral lists this ribosomal RNA (618 nucleotides) under uncultured Basidiomycota. RNAcentral describes it as "LSU rRNA". It matches the Rfam family "Eukaryotic large subunit ribosomal RNA", at positions 34 to 635 of the family's 3401-position model. Lineage: Eukaryota; Fungi; Basidiomycota. The record is from RNAcentral.
UUAAGCAUAUCAAUAGGCGGAGGAAAAGAAACUAACAAGGAUUCCCCUAGUAACUGCGAGUGAAGCGGGAAAAGCUCAAAUUUAAAAUCUGGUAGUCUUUGGCUAUCCGAGUUGUAAUCUAGAGAAACGUUAUCCGCGCUGGACCAUGUAUAAGUCUCCUGGAAUGGAGCGUCAUAGAGGGUGAGAAUCCCGUCUUUAACAUGGACUACCAGGGCUCUGUGAUGCGUUCUCAAAGAGUCGAGUUGUUUGGGAAUGCAGCUCUAAAUGGGUGGUAAAUUCCAUCUAAAGCUAAAUAUUGGCGAGAGACCGAUAGCGAACAAGUACCGUGAGGGAAAGAUGAAAAGAACUUUGGAAAGAGAGUUAAACAGUACGUGAAAUUGUUGAAAGGGAAACGCUUGAAGUCAGUCACAUUAACCGGGGAUCAGCCUUGCUUUUUGCUUAGUGUAUUUCCUGAUUAAUGGGUCAGCAUCAAUUUUGACCAGUGGAAAAAGAUUUAGGGAAUGUGACAUCCUUGGAUGUGUUAUAGCCCUUGGUCGUAUACAUUGGUUGGAAUUGAGGAACUCAGCAUGCCGCAAGGCCGGGUUUUUACCACGUUCAUGCUUAGGAUGCUGGCAUAAU